GUUUACCUACGUUUCAGAAUUUGCAACGGCGGAUUGGUUCGGUCUGAUUACCGGGAUAGCUGUCGCCAACUCCUCGGACCUGUUCAUAGCGCAAAAUUCACAAGAGAGGACAUUUUUCAUAGGCGACAGACACACCCUCUGUUUCAAAUACGAGAUUUGCAAGAUGGACAGAAAUGGAACCGUGAAGGAGACCACAACCACGGAAAUUGAGUGUAAGUGGUUGCCGAUAAAGGAUAUAGACAUGUUGCCACUCAAUCAAUUGGUGAGUCAAUCGAAAUACAAGAGAUCAUAAAUUUUACGAGUUGCCGUUUAACCCGGGAAUAAUCCUUUAUUCAUUUAUUUGUAAACGAAAAAUUACAAGUGUUCGGAUAAGAAAAAUUAAAAUUAAAUCAAUAAGGUUGAUGGUAAGAAAAAUUAUAGAGUGUUCCUU
Long non-coding RNA from Apis florea (little honeybee), 430 nucleotides. The record is from RefSeq and is a predicted model, not a curated record. Lineage: Eukaryota; Metazoa; Arthropoda; Insecta; Hymenoptera; Apidae.